Long non-coding RNA from Rhipicephalus microplus (southern cattle tick), 556 nucleotides. RefSeq lists it as uncharacterized. NCBI's taxonomy places the organism in Eukaryota, Metazoa, Arthropoda, Arachnida, Ixodida, Ixodidae. The record is from RefSeq and is a predicted model, not a curated record.
CAGACGUUUGGUGAGUAGCGUCACCACGGACCCGAGCUAACGAGGAGGGGCUUGAGCCCCCCUCCCACGCCUGGCUGCACACAGCUGAGCCAAUGGGGUUAAGCUUGUGCAAUGUGUUUGGACUUUUAAGGCACUCAAGGAGGCGACACGCCCUCUUUUCGCACAUGCUUCAUGUAUACGGCUCCCCUGAGCUGACUUACCCACGAGAAACUAGCAGCUACCUUUUAAGCAAAGCUACAAUGAGUUGAAGGUUUUGGUGGCAGCAGUGGCAGAGCUCACGAGAAAACUGGUGCCAAUAAGUGUGCAGAAGUAUGGCAAAAGACCUGCAACUUUGCAUUGGAUAACCUCAAGAUCUGAUCAGUGACCUGGAGUUGCUUUAUGGCCCCAGUUUUUUGCCGGCCGUCAUAUCAGCGACUUUGAAGCAUGGGAUGCUGGUGCAAACCAAGUCGUAGAUGACUGUGGGUUCCCAGAGGGUGACGAGGCCAGCUAUUUGAAAUGCAGCCACUGUGACUUCACGAGCUAUGAUGCAGCUGCGCUCAUCGGGCACCAGCAGCAC